GCGCUCACUUCGGCAGUGUGUAUACUAAAAUUGGACCGAUACGGAGAAGAUGAGCAUGGCCCCCGAGCAAGAAUGACACUCAACUUCAUGAAGCGUCCAUAUUUUUC
Molecule: small nuclear RNA, 107 nt
Organism: Tupaia belangeri (northern tree shrew)
Lineage: Eukaryota; Metazoa; Chordata; Mammalia; Scandentia; Tupaiidae
Source: Ensembl